Long non-coding RNA from Neofelis nebulosa (Clouded leopard), 965 nucleotides. RefSeq lists it as uncharacterized. The record is from RefSeq and is a predicted model, not a curated record. The transcript has 3 exons. Lineage: Eukaryota; Metazoa; Chordata; Mammalia; Carnivora; Felidae.
ACUGCUUGUGGGAAUGCAAAAUGGUACAACUACUUUUGAAGACAGUUUGGCAGUUUCUUAAAAACUAAACAUACUUUUUACCAUCUGAUCCAGUAAUCACACUCCUUACUAUCUACCCAUUGGAGUUGAAAACUCCACAGAAAAACCUGCACAGGGAUGUUUACAGCAGCUUUAUUCAUAAUUGCCAAAACUUGGGAGCAAACAAGAUGUCCUUCAAUAGGUGGAUGGAUACAUAAACUGUGGCACAUCUAGACAAUGGAAUGUUAUUCAGCACUAAAAAGAAAUGAACUAUCAGGUCAUGAAAAGACCCAGAAGAACCUUAAGUGCACAUCACUAAGUGAAAUAAGCCAUUCUGAAAAGGCUAUAGAUGGUGUGCAACUAUAUGACAUUCUGGAAAAGGUAAAAUUUGGCAACAGGAAAAAGAUUGGUGGUUGCCAGGAGUUGGAGGUAGGAGAGGAAUCAAAAGGUGGAACACAAAGGGCUUUUAGGGCUUUUAAACACUCUGUAUGAUAUCAUAAUGAUGGAACCUGUCAAUAUAUAUUUAUCUAGACCCAUAGACUGACUGUACAACACCAAGAGUAAAGUCUAAUGUGAACUUUAGGUGAUUAUAACGCGUCAAUGUACGUUCGGCAAUGUAAUAAAGGUACCACCCUAGGAUGAAAACAGCCUGGGGAAGCUGAGGAAUUUUUUUAAACAAAGGGGAAUAUGCAUCUUCUGACCUGAACAGAAUAUUAUACAGCAAAAGAAGACCCUUGAAUCCAGGAUACUUUCUUGAAAGUCAGAAGCCAGAAGGCGAAGAAGCUACGGAGGUGGGCCCACAGGACAGCAGUGAGCAGGAAGGAGGAGAGAUAAGAAUGGGUCAGGAAGGGCCAAAGGAACACAUCUACACACUCCCUUGUGACAGAAAUCGUUUUCGGUGAUACAUACUUUUGUUUGAAGAGCAAAUAAAGUGAGCGAUAACGUCA